UACGACCCAGCGGAUUGGUCAGCUGGAUCAGCGGGUGUGCGUGGGGGAUGUGGGGAGCCUUUAGAGGAUUCGGCCGUUAUGGUUGAGCGGAUGGGGGCCGCACGAUCCAGCGGAUUCGGCAGCUGGAUGAGCGGGUGUGCCUUGGGGGUGUGUGGUAACCUUUAGCUAGAGUUGGCCGUUAUGGUUGAGCGGAUGGGGCCGCACGAUCUUGGAGUACUAAGUAUGUUAAAGUAACACUUAACGGACCUCUCCAAAGGCGUCAUGUUCAUGGCACUAAAGAUGUAAGUCUUCGUUCGUAGGUCAAGAUGUCCCAUGCCCCUACGUUCUUGUCCCCUGUUCUAGGUUCAGUACAAGACGUUUGUGAAACAAUGUCCCCGUUAAAAACGUUGAUCUUCUAAUACCCUCUUCCGGUACCGUAGGUCGCCACCGACCCCCUUCCUCAACGUGCCCCCUAGACCCGACUACCCGCAUCCUAAAAGACCACGACCCACCUCCCCCUCCUAGUCACCUAGUGCACUCCCUUUCCUACCGACCAACAGCCCUGCAACGUUGCUCUACCCCUUCGACAUGAACGGAAGAAAUCGUGCACCCAAAGAGGAUAAAGCAGGGUAGCGCCGGUACCAGAAGGGAAAAUCACCAGGCCACUACUUAGUUGUCGAACUGUCGAACAGAAAACUCCUACUUAGUCGUCGAACU
RNAcentral lists this ribosomal RNA (696 nucleotides) under Triticum aestivum (bread wheat). RNAcentral describes it as "partial small subunit ribosomal RNA". Lineage: Eukaryota; Viridiplantae; Streptophyta; Magnoliopsida; Poales; Poaceae. The record is from RNAcentral.